GGGGGGGGGGGGGGCUCCGAGGUCCCCCAGGAUGCCCGGCCGUGACUCCUGGGGCUGGCACCCAGCUGGCCUCCCCCCAGUUUGUUCCAUGGCGCAUCCAGGGUCUUCACUGGGCAGGAGGCCGUGGAGGGACGUGCACCGCGCCUUCCUGGCAGCUGAGGACCGCGCCACUUGCUAAAGGAGGGACACAGCUGGACCUUUGGAAAUGACAGCGGCUUGGCCGUGGGUCAGACCUGGAGGAGGGGAGGGUGUGGCCGUGUGCAUGGAGGUGGCUGAAAGGCUGGGCAUGGGACAGGCAGCCCUGGCGUGACCUUGGGCUGGUGGCCAUUGGCUGUGCUGUGCUCUCAACACCAACACAUCGCCACCACCCGGCCCAGCACCUGCCCUGCAGGGCCCUGGAGCCACCUCACAGGGGAAGCGUGGAGGCUGAGCGAGGGCCCAGAGGCGGUGCCUUCCCCCAGGCCGGGUCCAGGUUCGACUCCCCAGCUCAUAGAUGAGGCGGACACUGGGCGCUGGGCGUGCUGCCCUCCCUCCCGGGGCCUGGGGGCUGGGCUGGCUACGUCAGGCCCCUUCUGCUCUGAAGCACGUGGGGGUCCACCUGACUGGGAGUGGCACCCCCUCCAGUGUGGGGGCCCUCCCACUCCCCCGGCCUCUACCUGCACCUGCGUGGUCUGUGCAGAAGCCCCGCCUACCCGCCGUGCUGCAAGUGACCACAGGCCCGCAUCUCACCAAGCUUCACCCCAGACCGCCAGCCUGGAAGGGCCGACGGUUCAGCUGGGACUCUGGCCCGGGACACAGCCUGUGGAUUUGCCCUGUCCUCCCAGUGUCCCCGAGGGUGGCCAGUGCCCAAGCCACGUCCCCCAAAGGCAAACGCGAGGGCCUGGGAACCGGGACGGAUGGAGGACCAGCCUUUCCCCGGAUCCAGCUCAGGGAAGGCUCAGAAUACUGGCCCCUCCAUCCUGCAGCCCUGGACGCGGGGCUCCAGGUGUGACCUGCCUUCUCUGAUAUACGCUGAUGUAGGCGUCACCAGCCCGCCACCACGAGGACCCAGGCCACUGCCAGGGGCUGGAGGGCUGGUGGCGUCAAGUCCCCGCGUGGAUGAGGCGCGGAGGCCAAGCCCCCAUGACCGUAAGAGUGGACCUGAGAGGAGGUGCAGGGGCCUGGUCUGAGGUCAGACCCCUCCGGGUUGGGACCUGCCACCUGCUCACCUGGUGCAGCCGCAGGACCCGCUCACCAGGUGGGGGUGCCUUUGAGUCCACGAGAGAGGGACACAGGCCACCAAAGGCGUUUCAGGGACAGACCAGAGAUGGGGGCCGGAGGAGGGAGGAAGGACCGUGAGUGAGGAAAGACGUUGGGGUGAUGGGCCGGAGGCCUGUCCUCUGGGGGGGGCGUCAGGAGGGGACGGCACGGGAGGGACGGGCCGAGAGGGCUGGUCACUGCAUGCGGCUCCCCUCCUGCCCAGGCCCCAGGACCUGGAGGGGGCGCCUCCCUCCCCACCGCCCCAGCAACCCCUCCUUCCUGUCUGCUCGUUUUGUGGCUCAGGAACGUGCAGGACAGAAAUAACCAACUGUCUCCUUCAAGUUCAGGCGGCCACUUGGGUCCUGUCUGGCCUCCAUCCCCUGAAAACACCCCACCUUAUCCUGGAGAGUUUUAUCUGAAGCAGAGAUUAUUUCCACUGUCAUAAACGUGAAAAAGCAAUCCGUUCGUGGUUUAACGGUUUCCAGGGAGGAUGAAGAAAGACCCCAAAGCCACGUAGGGCCGUCUUCCCCACGGGUGGCACCGUGCUCAUGGCUCUUCAUCGGGAACCGCUGGGAACCGCUGGGAACUGCUGGGAACGGGAGGCCCACGCCUCGGCCUUGGCGCUUAAAGCCUCCUGUGCCCUGAUUGGAAGAAGAAACUUGGCUUAGCGUUGGGUGAGAUGCUGGCGCACCUGGCCAAGGCCGCACCUGUUCUGCCGAGAGGCACCCUGCCCACCACCUCCCGGAGCAGCCUUGUAAACAUCUGUGGUUGGGUGGGGGUCGGGGGCUGGUGAAAAGCGGAGAGAGGAAUGCCGGCCGUCCUUCCCCCAGAGGCAGGUGCAGGGGCCCUGCUGGGUGUGGCCAGCCUGAGCCGGCCCUGCCCGCCCCCGCCCGGCUGCCGCCAGCCCCAGCCUGUCCACCAGGGGGCAGUGGUGCCUAACCGUGGCCGCUGGUCCCAGCGGGUCGGCCCCCAGGGUGGUGACCACAGAGCCUGGCGGCCCUUUAAGCCUCUGACACCUGGCAGGUCCAUGGCAGGGAGGCAAAGCCUUUGUGGAAAUGACGCUGCCUUCCCAACCUGCCCGGGAGGGGAGGGGUUGCAGUCACAUCCUGUGGCGUCUUGGCUCCAUUCCUCAGACAGAGCCACCAAGGUCCCUGCAGCAGGCUGGGCCUGGCUUCGACCCCAAGGCAGGCACUGAGUCCCUCGGUCCCUUCUCUGGUGACCUUCAGCUCGUUUGCCCCGCUGGAGCCGUCUGGCAGGACUGCUGCCCCUGGGGACGUUUCCUCUGGCCAGCCGGGUGGCACGUCUGGUCCAACGGGUGGGCAGCAGGGGCAGCUGCUGCGAGGCCAUGGCCGGAGGGGCUGGGUUUCCAUGUGGGCACUGCCUCCCAUCUGGUGUCUAAGCCGAGAAGCUCCUCCUUACCUGGGGGCGGCGGGCCCGGUCUAGGAACAACCUCACCCGGCCAGGAGCCCCCGAAGCGAGGGCGGGCCCUACUGCUGGACGGGCGAGGAGGUGGCCAGGCUGGCCCGCUCCGCCUUGCUGGCUCUCCAGCGUGUUCUGGAUGGUACGUGCCGGUGCCCUGGUGGUCAGGGUGUCUGGCUCGGCAGGGGUGUGCCUGGGAUGGAGGCUGCUCUCGGCGCCCCUGCGUGACCGCCGGCCGGGCCCCCUCGCCUGAACUGCGCGGGGCUCCUCAGAGGCUAAUAGCAGUAUCACUGUCCUAAUUCAUUAGACACGGGGAGACUUUAAAUUUCAUUUUUGUGCAGUUAUUUAAAAUUUAAAAUGAUAACGUCCAACUCAAUUAAAUGCCAGUUGAUCACUCCAAA
This is a non-coding RNA of Sus scrofa (pig), 3059 nucleotides long. The record is from RefSeq and is a predicted model, not a curated record. NCBI's taxonomy places the organism in Eukaryota, Metazoa, Chordata, Mammalia, Artiodactyla, Suidae.